UCAGUGGAGGUUCAAUGGUAGAAUUCCCACCUUCCGUGCAGGAGAUCUGGGUUCCAUUCCCGGCCAAUGCA
RNAcentral lists this transfer RNA (71 nucleotides) under Loxodonta africana (African savanna elephant). It matches the Rfam family "tRNA". From Rfam's summary of the family: Transfer RNA (tRNA) molecules are approximately 80 nucleotides in length. Their secondary structure includes four short double-helical elements and three loops (D, anti-codon, and T loops). Further hydrogen bonds mediate the characteristic L-shaped molecular structure. tRNAs have two regions of fundamental functional importance: the anti-codon, which is responsible for specific mRNA codon recognition, and the 3' end, to which the tRNAs corresponding amino acid is attached (by aminoacyl-tRNA synthetases). tRNAs cope with the degeneracy of the genetic code in two manners: having more than one tRNA (with a specific anti-codon) for a particular amino acid; and 'wobble' base-pairing, i.e. permitting non-standard base-pairing at the 3rd anti-codon position. Lineage: Eukaryota; Metazoa; Chordata; Mammalia; Proboscidea; Elephantidae. The record is from Rfam by way of RNAcentral.